AUACGGAGGGUGCAAGCGUUAAUCGGAAUUACUGGGCGUAAAGCGCGCGUAGGCGGUUUGAUAAGUCGGAUGUGAAAUCCCCGGGCUCAACCUGGGAAUUGCAUUCGAUACUGUCAGGCUAGAGGGUGGUAGAGGGAAGUGGAAUUUCCGGUGUAGCGGUGAAAUGCGUAGAUAUCGGAAGGAACACCAGUGGCGAAGGCGGCUUCCUGGACCAACACUGACGCUGAGGUGCGAAAGCGUGGGGAGCAAACAGGAUUAGAAACCCCAGUAGUCC
Molecule: ribosomal RNA, 274 nt
Filed under: uncultured bacterium
Lineage: Bacteria
Description: partial 16S ribosomal RNA
Rfam family: Bacterial small subunit ribosomal RNA
Source: RNAcentral